This 351-nucleotide unclassified non-coding RNA is filed under the name soil metagenome. Its description in RNAcentral is "partial contains 5.8S ribosomal RNA, internal transcribed spacer 2, and large subunit ribosomal RNA". The stretch from base 1 to 120 matches the Rfam family "5.8S ribosomal RNA", at positions 35 to 154 of the family's 154-position model. The record is from RNAcentral.
GAUGAAGAACGUAGCGAAAUGCGAAAAGUAAUGUGAAUUGCAGAAUUCAGUGAAUCAUCGAAUCUUUGAACGCACAUUGCGCCCGCCAGUAUUCUGGCGGGCAUGCCUGUCUGAGCGUCAUUUCAACCCUCACGCCCCUAGGGCGUGGUGUUGGGGAUCGGCCAAGGCCCGCAAGGGACGGCCGGCCCCUAAAUCUAGUGGCGGACCCAUCGUGGCCUCCCCUGCGAAGUAGUAAUAUAUUCCGCAUCGGAUAGCGAUGAGCCCCUGCCGUUAAACCCCCAACUCUUUCAAGGUUGACCUCAGAUCAGGUAGGAAUACCCGCUGACCUUAAGCAUAUCAAUAAGCGGAGGA